GAUGAACGCUGGCGGCGUGCCUAAUACAUGCAAGUCGAGCGAACAGACGAGGAGCUUGCUCCUCUGACGUUAGCGGCGGACGGGUGAGUAACACGUGGAUAACCUACCUAUAAGACUGGGAUAACUUCGGGAAACCGGAGCUAAUACCGGAUAAUAUAUUGAACCGCAUGGUUCAAUAGUGAAAGACGGUUUUGCUGUCACUUAUAGAUGGAUCCGCGCCGCAUUAGCUAGUUGGUAAGGUAACGGCUUACCAAGGCAACGAUGCGUAGCCGACCUGAGAGGGGAUUCGGCAAAACGGAACCUGGACAAGGUCCCAGACCCCAACGGAGGCAGCAGUAGGGAAUCUUCCGCAAUGGGCGAAAGCUUGACGGAGCAACGCCGCGUGAGUGAUGAAGGUCUUCGGAUCGUAAAACUCUGUUAUUAGGGAAGAACAAAUGUGUAAGUAACUAUGCACGUCUUGACGGUACCUAAUCAGAAAGCCACGGCUAACUACGUG
Molecule: ribosomal RNA, 496 nt
Filed under: uncultured bacterium
Lineage: Bacteria
Description: partial 16S ribosomal RNA
Rfam family: Bacterial small subunit ribosomal RNA
Source: RNAcentral